GAUCAUGGCUCAGGAUGAACGCUAGCUACAGGCUUAACACAUGCAAGUCGAGGGGGAAACGACAUCGAAAGCUUGCUUUUGAUGGGCGUCGACCGGCGUACUGGUGAGUAACGCGUAUCCAACCUGCCCACCACUUGGGGAUAACCUUGCGAAAGUAAGACUAAUACCCAAUGAUAUCUCUAGAAGACAUCUGAAGGGAUAAAGAUUUAUCGGUGAUGGAUGGGGAUGCGU
RNAcentral lists this ribosomal RNA (231 nucleotides) under uncultured bacterium. RNAcentral describes it as "partial 16S ribosomal RNA". It matches the Rfam family "Bacterial small subunit ribosomal RNA", at positions 15 to 236 of the family's 1533-position model. The record is from RNAcentral.